UUACAACUUUGGGAUUUUAUUAUCUGUAUACCUGCACCCCAAGCUAUUUGUUUACAUCGAGGUACAAGGGGUUAUAACAAUAUGAAAUUUCCAAAGAUAAUUUAAUUAAUUUAAACUCCUGUCUCGACCUGUUUAAAUGUUAAAUUAAUUUUUUUUUUUUACAAAAAUUUAUGUACAACUUUAAUUUUGACGAAAUUUUCAUAAAGUUUUAUUAUUUUGGGAUUUAUCUGUAUAUGUUUACACUUAAGUACAAAGGGUCAUAGGAAUAUUGUUGAAAAAUCCCAAAGGUAAUUUAAUUAAUUGAGAUUCCUGUCUUGACCUGUUUAGAUUUAGUCAACGUGAAAGUAUAAAUUUUGUAAUAUUAAUAUAACAGCAAAUUUAUUUAUUUCAGAAAAGUUAUUCCGGGAGUGCUCGAAUUUUUUAAAUCGCGAACGAAAAUAUUUUAUAAAAAGUUUUUUUUUAAGUGUUUUAUUUCUUAAUUUAAAUGUAAAUUAUUGAGCGUUCAAAACUUUAAAUCGCGAGUAUUCAGAAGAUCUGUUUCAAAAUAAGUGACAACAGCGAAUGGAAGCUAAGAAAAGUUAUUAAUUCCGGGAGUGCUCGAAUUUUUUAAAUCGCGAACGAAAAUAUUUUAUAAAAAGUUUUUUUUUAGUGUUUUAUUUUUUAAUUUAAAUGUAAAUUAUUGAGCGUUCAAAACUUUAAAUCGCGAGUAUUCAGAAGAUCUGUUUCAAAAUAAGUGACAACAGCGAAUGGAAGCUAAGGAAACAUACAAGAUUAUAUGAAGAAAAAAAAUGGAAGGUGUGCCUGAAAUAAAAGAUUAAUUCCCCGGAGAGAAAUUUCCGUCUUUUAAAAAACAAACCAGAGGAACAAACACGAAAACUCAAGGAGUUCAAGAAAACCUAUCCUAUAUCGGAAAUUUGAAAAAGUGGAAAUAGAAAAGACAAAAACUGAAAAGACUAGUACUCUAAAAUAAAAUUGAAAACCUUUAAACCUUUCUUAAAAAUCCUAUUGAAACUUUGAACCCUAAUGAAAACUAUCUUGAAACUCGUACAAAAGUUAAAAUGUUCAAUAGUGUUUUCAUGAGGUUUGAAAGGUUUAAAAGUUGAAUAGGCUUUUUAUGAUGGUUAAAGGUUAAAAUUUUUAGAGUUCCAAAUACGGAGUGCUUGCAAUGUAAAAAUAUACUUCAGCGUCUGAUAUAAUAAAAAGAAAAUUGAAAAGACAAAAUUAUCAACGUGGUAAUCCAAUUUUUUAAACAAAACCGAAAAGACACUUAGAAAUUAACAUUACCGACUUCUAGUAAAAAUUGAAAAAUGAUAAUAUAAAAAUUACCGGCAUAGGAAUCUACCUUACCGACUGAUGGUAAAACAGUUUUUUGAAAAAUGAAAAUAUAAAAAAUUACCGACGUAGGAAUCUACCUUACCGACUGAUGGUAAAACAGUUUUUUUUGAAAAAUGAAAAUAUAAAAAAUUACCGACGUAGGAAUCUACCUUACCGACUGAUGGUAAAACAGAUUUUUUGAAAAAUGAAAAUAUAAAAAAUUACCGACGUAGGAAUCUACCUUACCGACUGAUGGUAAAACAGUUUUUUUGAAAAAUGAAAAUAUAAAAAAUUACCGACAUAGGAAUCUACCUUACCGACUGAUGGUAAUUACCGACUGAUGGUAAAACAGUUUUAAUUUUUUUGAUUUUUCCAAAACUGUUUUACCAUCAGU
Molecule: long non-coding RNA, 1708 nt
Organism: Leptopilina boulardi
Lineage: Eukaryota; Metazoa; Arthropoda; Insecta; Hymenoptera; Figitidae
Exons: 4
Source: RefSeq, a predicted model, not a curated record